CUGAUUUUUUUUAAUUUUUUUAUUUGAUUUUGAAUUUUACAUACAUAUAUGAGUGGUAUUUUAAAUUACUACUGUAGACUGUAAUUAUUUUGCCAUGAAACUGAACCAGCGGGCGAGUUGAAAUAUUUUGUGAAAUCAUCUCUGAUAUUCUUCGCAUCAACAGAAGAGUUACCUCUGAUUGAUCUUUGAAGUUGCAAAGUAAUUUGUUGCUCAUUUCGCCAAGAACCAUCUUCGAAAGUGCCAUUGUUUGUAUUGUAUUGUAUCACCAAAUAAUUUCAAACUCUUGUAAAAUUUAUAAACUUGCGCGAAAAAAGGCAACCUACCCAUGCAACGAACAGUGGCACACUAAAACAUCGUAUUGACAGAGCUCGUAUUGAAGCAAUAGCGUAUUGAUGCACCUUCAAUCAUAUUGAUCAAUACGUAUUGAUCGUCUACGGGCUACUUUAGUUUUUCGACCAAACAGUCUUGUGGUUUAUUUAAUUGACUUCGCGUCGCGGUUGUGUGUUUUGAUUUUUUAAUAUACAUAUUCAUUAUUAAAAAAGUGAAUAAAGAAUUAUUAAACAAAAAAGUAUAAAUUAUUUAUAGUGAUAACAAAAAAGUGAAAAUGACGAGAAGCGUGGCAGCAGUAGGAAAGGAAAGUCUUUGCGAGUUAGAGGUCAAAAAUGGCAAUCAUAUUGAAAUUCUCAUUAGGAAGUGGAGAACAGCGUGGAAUAAAGUCUUUCCAAACUAAUAGGAUGGGUAAAUACAAGUACAAGUACAAUACAAAUGGUAAAUAAAAAUUCUAAACAAAAAAUUAUAAUAAAAAUUAAUAUUUUAAAUUUACUGACAUUUAAAUAUAUUGUGUUUCUUAUUUAUUUAUGGUAUCCACUGAAAUAAAGGUAGGUAAUAAAAAAGGUAGUGAAUUAUAACCGAAUAUAUGUAGCGAGGUAGCUAUUGAAAUAUAUUCAGCGCUAUGUGGUAAAGUAGCUAGCGAAAUAAAGGUGAUGAAAUCACUAGUGAGUAGUGUUAACUGGUUACCGUCAAUGACAUCGCCGUGUUAAAUUCAUGAGUGAAUUGCAUUGCCGGUAUUAUGGGGGGUAACCAGUGGUGGUUACCGGUAAGUAGUGAACUCACUAGUGUUUCACGGGUGAGCCGAACUGGCGGGGGCUGACAGUUGUGCCAAACUGAAAAAGAAAAUUGAAAUUUUCUCAGCAAGAAAAUUUAAAAUGAGAAUUUCCGAUUACUUAUUUGAAGGAAUUUAUACUAGAAAUUAAUACUUGACUAAAAGAGUAAGAGGAUAGCAAUGUUUACAACAUUAUAUUACAUUUUGCACUGUAUUAUUAGGCCCAUCAGACAGGUAGCUUAUAGCCCAGCAAGCGUCACCUAAUAUAUGAAUUUCAUGGAUGUCACUAGGAUUGGCAAACCAUUUACAAUUAGAGAAACAUCAAUUGGAGUAUCUGUACCGCAACACAAAUAGUGUCUAUACAGUAGGAGCACAUUCUAUUGGAAGAGGUUAUAACAGAAGUUAGUACUUGAUAAAAAAAAGGAAGAGGAUAGCAACGUAGUCGGCUUUAGUAUACCAUCCCACGAUUACAAGAUUAAAAUGGGUAUGGUUAAUUAGAUGUGAUUUUCAAAUUCUGAGUAUAUAAAUAUUUAUCUCAGCAAUAAAGAGAUCAAAGAACGAUAAUUCAGCAAACACAUCAAGUAUUUAAUGGAGAAGAUAAACAUAAACAAGUAAGGAAAGGCUAAGUUCAGGUGCAACCGAAUAUUUUAUACUCUCGCAAUUUAUUGAAGAAAUUUAACCAAUAUGCGAAAUAAAGCUCACCGUAUUUUUGAAAAACCUAUAAUUAGGUAUAUGGAAAUGUUAUGACCCGAUUUUAAUAAUUUUUGGAACAGGGACACACUAUUAGAAGACAACAAUUUCCUCUGAAUUAAAUUGAGAUAUCUGAGAGAUUUACCCAUAUUUUCGGUUAAAAUUUAUCCAUAGUCGCUGAGUUCAACAUGUUCGAUAUCUGGGGCCUUGAAAAGUUGUGGUCCGUUUUCGACAAUUUUUUCACAAGUGAAGCCAGAGAUGAUAUGCACUAAUUGUGUAAAGUUUUAUUCCGUAAUCUUCAUUGGUUCCUAAUGUUUACAUUAUAAAGUGAAGGAAUAAGAUGGAUUUCAAAAUUGAGUUACAUGGGAAGUUGUCGUGGUUGUGAACCGAUUUCAUAUAUUUUCCACACGUGUCAUCAUCAAAUUCAUUUCAAUCGAGUAGUUCCUGAGAUAUGGUUUUUGACCCAUAAGUGGGCGAUGCCACGCCCAUUUUCCAUUUUGUAAAAAAAUCUGACUACAGCUCCCUUCUGCUAUUUCUUCUGCAAAAUUUAGUGUUUCUGACGUUUUUCGUUAGUUAGUUAACCGACUUUUAGUAAUUUUCAACCUAACCUUUGUAUGGGAGGUGGGCGUGGUUAUUAUCCGAUUUCAACUAUUUUCAUGGUGUGUGGUGGGGUAUGUAAGAGAACCGACUGCAGAAAGUUUGGUUUAUAUAGCUUUAUUAGUUUGCGAGUUAAAUACAAAUAAUCGAUUUGUGGGCGGGGCCACGCCCACUUCCCCAAAAAAAUUACAUCCAAAUAUGCCCCCUCCUAGUGCGAUCCUUUAUUCCAAAUUUUACUUUUAUAUCUUCAUUUAUGGCUUAGUUAUGACACUUUAUGUGUUUUUGGUUUUCGCCAUUUUGUGGGCGUGGCAAUGGUCCGAUUCCGCCCAUUUUCGAACUUAUGGUGCCAAGGAAUAUUUGUGCCAAGUUUCGUCAAGAUAUCUUAAUUUUUACUCAAGUUACAGCUUGCACAGACGGACAGACGGACAGACGGACGGACGGACAGACAUCCGGAUUUCAAAUCUACUCGUCACCCUGAUCACUUUGGUAUAUAUGACUCUAUAUCUAACUCAUUUAGUUUUAGGUGUUACAAACAACCGUUAGGUGAACAAAACUAUAAUACUCUCUUGCAACUUUGUUGUUGCGAGAGUAUA
This is a long non-coding RNA of Zeugodacus cucurbitae (melon fly), 2982 nucleotides long. RefSeq lists it as uncharacterized. The transcript is spliced from 3 exons. NCBI's taxonomy places the organism in Eukaryota, Metazoa, Arthropoda, Insecta, Diptera, Tephritidae. The record is from RefSeq and is a predicted model, not a curated record.